UAUACCAUAAAUCCCAAAACCUAAAAUCUUAUCCCUAAACCCGAAAACCCUAAAACCUAAACCCUAAACCCUAAACCCUAAACUCUUAACCCUAAACCCUUAAACCUAAACC
Molecule: small RNA, 112 nt
Filed under: Arabidopsis thaliana (thale cress)
Lineage: Eukaryota; Viridiplantae; Streptophyta; Magnoliopsida; Brassicales; Brassicaceae
Description: ATSL038290
Source: RNAcentral